AUCCUCAAAAUAUAAAAAAAGUACCUUAGAGACUUUUUUCUUAUUAACUAUGUAACUCUUAACUUGGAAUUUUCCUUUGCUUCUUAGAAUUAUAUUAACACAUUACUAAAAAAUUACUUAUUUAUUGAGACAAUACCUAGGAAGGGUUGAUUUGAAGAUGAGGAAUUACCGCAUUCACUUGCUUUCUUCCUUUCUGUCUUUAGCUUAGUACAAUAGAAAACUUUUUUAUUUUCAUUGUUUGGAAGUUUUUCAACAAAUGAAAUAUUUUUCAAUUGAUAUCAGAUCUAAAACCUAAGUCUAAAGUCUAAGUAAAGUAUCUUAUUAGAAAAUUUUUUAAAAUGUAAAAAAAUUUAAACAAAACAAAUGAAAUUACUAGAUUUCAUUUAUUCUCAUUAAAUAUAUAAAAUAAAGGGGAAAUAAAAAAAAAAAAAAUAAAUUGAUCAAAAAAAAGGGCGAUCGGAGUGAUACAAAAAAAACUCUGUUCUUUGUUAGUCCUAUCCAAAAAAAAAAAGAGGAAAAUAU
Molecule: unclassified non-coding RNA, 522 nt
Filed under: Globba schomburgkii
Lineage: Eukaryota; Viridiplantae; Streptophyta; Magnoliopsida; Zingiberales; Zingiberaceae
Description: atpH-atpF intergenic spacer
Source: RNAcentral